Molecule: ribosomal RNA, 253 nt
Filed under: uncultured bacterium
Lineage: Bacteria
Description: partial 16S ribosomal RNA
Rfam family: Bacterial small subunit ribosomal RNA
Source: RNAcentral
UACGUAUGGUGCAAGCGUUAUCCGGAUUUACUGGGCGUAAAGGGAGCGUAGGCGGACUUUUAAGUGAGAUGUGAAAUACUCGGGCUCAACUUGAGUGCUGCAUUUCAAACUGGAAGUCUAGAGUGCAGGAGAGGAGAAUGGAAUUCCUAGUGUAGCGGUGAAAUGCGUAGAGAUUAGGAAGAACACCAGUGGCGAAGGCGAUUCUCUGGACUGUGACUGACGCUGAGGCUCGAAAGCGUGGGGAGCAAACAGG